Molecule: ribosomal RNA, 433 nt
Filed under: uncultured bacterium
Lineage: Bacteria
Description: partial 16S ribosomal RNA
Rfam family: Bacterial small subunit ribosomal RNA
Source: RNAcentral
AACGAACGCUGGCGGCAUGCCUAACACAUGCAAGUCGAACGAGACCUUCGGGUCUAGUGGCGCACGGGUGCGUAACGCGUGGGAACCUGCCCUUAGGUUCGGAAUAACUCCCCGAAAGGGGUGCUAAUACCGGAUAAUGUCUUCGGACCAAAGAUUUAUCGCCUUUGGAUGGGCCCGCGUUGGAUUAGCUGGUUGGUAGGGUAAAAGCCUACCAAGGCGACGAUCCAUAGCCGGUCUGAGAGGAUGAUCAGCCACACUGGGACUGAGACACGGCCCAGACUCCUACGGGAGGCAGCAGUGGGGAAUAUUGGACAAUGGGCGAAAGCCUGAUCCAGCAAUGCCGCGUGAGUGAUGAAGGCCUUAGGGUUGUAAAGCUCUUUUACCCGGGAUGAUAAUGACAGUACCGGGAGAAUAAGCUCCGGCUAACUCCGUG